CCACAUAGCACAAAGUAUACUUCUUUGUAGUGUAUUUCUAAUUUCAGAAAAUCCGAAAAUUCUUUUCAAUAAAAAUAAAGAUAAAUGAACUGACCUUUCUUAAAACAAUCUGGCUGAGUUUUCAUCAGCAUCUGAACUGGUUCCUAAUGUCAAGAGCAUUCUUACAUAACGUAUUAGCAUCAUGUCAUGGUACGAAUAAGGGAUGCAUCACAGUUAUAGGUUGUCAACAGACUCGCAAUAAGAGC
Long non-coding RNA from Pieris rapae (cabbage white), 245 nucleotides. RefSeq lists it as uncharacterized. NCBI's taxonomy places the organism in Eukaryota, Metazoa, Arthropoda, Insecta, Lepidoptera, Pieridae. The transcript has 3 exons. The record is from RefSeq and is a predicted model, not a curated record.